GACGAACGCUGGCGGCGUGCCUAAUACAUGCCAGUCGAACGCUGAAGGAGGAGCUUGCUUCUCCGGAUGAGUUGCGAACGGGUGAGUAACGCGUAGGUAACCUGCCUGGUAGCGGGGGAUAACUAUUGGAAACGAUAGCUAAUACCGCAUAAGAGUAGAUGUCGCAUGACAUUUGCUUAAAAGGUGCAACUGCACCACUACCAGAUGGACCUGCGGUGUAUUAGCUAGUUGGUGGGGUAACGGCUCACCAAGGCAACGAUACAUAGCCGACCCUGGAGGGGGAUCGGCCACACUGGGAAUGAGACACGGCCCAGACUCCUAAGGGAGGGAGCAGUAGGGAAUCUUCGGGCAAUGACGGAAGUCUGAACGGGCAAAGCCGGGUGAGGGAAGAAGGGUUUCGGAUCGGAAAGAUCUGUUGUAAGAGAAGAAAGAGUGUGGGAGUGGAAAGUGCACAUUGUGACGGUAGCUUAUCAGAAAGGGACGGCUAACUACGUG
RNAcentral lists this ribosomal RNA (495 nucleotides) under uncultured bacterium. RNAcentral describes it as "partial 16S ribosomal RNA". It matches the Rfam family "Bacterial small subunit ribosomal RNA", at positions 28 to 507 of the family's 1533-position model. The record is from RNAcentral.